UCCGGGAGACUCUGCAGAUGUAUUUUUAUCCACCAACAAACGGGAUUUGCUAGAAAGAAGGAGCUUGGGUGAAUGGAAGAGUAAAAAUGAAGUACAACUAUGAAGUUACAGAAUUAUUCCCAGUCUUUAAAAAUCUUCAAAACUUCACUUCGUUCAGAACUUCCAAUUAUACAGAAGAGGCUGUCAACUCCAUUAACAAAGCUUUUUUUUCCUUUCACUGGAUUUCAAACCACUGGCUACAGUGAGUUCUGCUGCCACAUCCUGGGUCAUCGAUUCUGCCAUUGGUGUCCUAGGACAGCAUUAAGACCUUCAGCUGUCUUCUGAUUGAGGACAAGAUCAUGGUGUCUCAUCGUCCCCACCCCACUGUAAUUCAAAAUAAAAACAAUGCUAAACCACAAAA
This is a long non-coding RNA of Homo sapiens (human), 400 nucleotides long. The record is from Ensembl. Lineage: Eukaryota; Metazoa; Chordata; Mammalia; Primates; Hominidae.